RNAcentral lists this long non-coding RNA (404 nucleotides) under Rattus norvegicus (Norway rat). Its description in RNAcentral is "long non-coding RNA NONRATT013514". Lineage: Eukaryota; Metazoa; Chordata; Mammalia; Rodentia; Muridae. The record is from RNAcentral.
GUAAUCUUUUCUUCCCUGAUUGACAGGCAGGGAUCCAAAUAUCAGUGCAUGGUGACACAUCGGGGAGGGUUGGUAACUAGUCUACUGACACCUAGUCUAACUUGGCACCUGAGUCUACUGGAAGAGACAUGGGUUAUUUGGGAAAGAGAGAGAAGAAACACUAGCAGCCUCAGGGGCUGUGACUUUACCCUGACCCAGGGCAAGCAAGUUCUGAUUGCUCAGUAUACUGACUGUAGGUUCCUGGGCAAAUUGCUUCAAGCCUCUGGUUUCAAUGAUUUCUGGUGUUGGGUUGUUGGGAGAAUUAAAUGAGGCCAUAUAGUGUUAGUGCUUCAGGAAAUUAUAGUUGUAGGGAGGACAUCACCAUAGGUAGGUAGUAAGUAGCUGAGCAUAGGACCUUGAUUUAC